RNAcentral lists this long non-coding RNA (213 nucleotides) under Hordeum vulgare. RNAcentral's name for it is "long non-coding RNA (HVUL_LNC016683)". Lineage: Eukaryota; Viridiplantae; Streptophyta; Magnoliopsida; Poales; Poaceae. The record is from RNAcentral.
GUCUCACCAUGGUCAAAGUAGCAAGGCCGGUCAGUCUGAGGCGAACCACCCGAAGACACGAUCUGAUAGGGGGACAACCAAACAGGAGGGGACUACCUCCACCGUCCAAGACGGUCGCCGUCCGGACACGACGACGAGAGCACACCGAGCCAUUGGAACCGAAGGGCAGCAGCAGCGCAGCCACCCGGAGGGCGUCCUCCACCGCCAUCGGUG